Molecule: ribosomal RNA, 200 nt
Filed under: uncultured bacterium
Lineage: Bacteria
Description: partial 16S ribosomal RNA
Rfam family: Bacterial small subunit ribosomal RNA
Source: RNAcentral
AGAGUUUGAUCCUGGCUCAGGACGAACGCUGGCGGCGUGCCUCAUACAUGCAAGUGGAGCGACGAACCAGGCUUCGGCCUGGGGCAAAGCCGCGAACGGGUGAGUAACACGUGGGUGACCUGCCCCGAUGAUUGGGACAACCCGAGGAAACUCGGGCUAAUACCGAAUGUGCUCCUGGUCGUGAUGGCCAGGCGGAAAGG